AUUGAACGCUGGCGGCAUGCCUUACACAUGCAAGUCGAACGGCAGCACGGGAGCAAUCCUGGUGGCGAGUGGCGAACGGGUGAGUAAUACAUCGGAACGUGCCCAGUAGUGGGGGAUAACCCGGCGAAAGCCGGACUAAUACCGCAUACGACCUACGGGUGAAAGCGAGGGGAUCGCAAGACCUUGCGCUAUCGGAGCGGCCGAUGUCAGAUUAGCUUGGUUGGCGGGGAAAAGCCCACCAAGGCGACGAUCUGUAGCUGGUCUGAGAGGACGACCAGCCACACUGGGACUGAGACACGGCCAGACUCCUACGGGAGCAGCAGUGGGAAUUUGACAUGGCGCAAGCUGAUCCAGCCAUGCCGCGUGCGGGAAGAAGGCCUGGUGUAACG
RNAcentral lists this ribosomal RNA (389 nucleotides) under uncultured bacterium. RNAcentral describes it as "bacterial SSU rRNA". It matches the Rfam family "Bacterial small subunit ribosomal RNA", at positions 29 to 430 of the family's 1533-position model. The record is from RNAcentral.